Molecule: ribosomal RNA, 547 nt
Filed under: uncultured bacterium
Lineage: Bacteria
Description: partial 16S ribosomal RNA
Rfam family: Bacterial small subunit ribosomal RNA
Source: RNAcentral
UGGGGAAUUUUGGACAAUGGGCGAAAGCCUGAUCCAGCAAUGCCGCGUGUGUGAAGAAGGCCUUCGGGUUGUAAAGCACUUUUGUCCGGAAAGAAAUCCUUGGCUCUAAUACAGUCGGGGGAUGACGGUACCGGAAGAAUAAGCACCGGCUAACUACGUGCCAGCAGCCGCGGUAAUACGUAGGGUGCAAGCGUUAAUCGGAAUUACUGGGCGUAAGCGUGCGCAGGCGGUUUGCUAAGACCGAUGUGAAAUCCCCGGGCUCAACCUGGGAACUGCAUUGGUGACUGGCAGGCUAGAGUAUGGCAGAGGGGGGUAGAAUUCCACGUGUAGCAGUGAAAUGCGUAGAGAUGUGGAGGAAUACCGAUGGCGAAGGCAGCCCCCUGGGCCAAUACUGACGCUCAUGCACGAAAGCGUGGGGAGCAAACAGGAUUAGAUACCCUGGUAGUCCAGCGCCCUAAACGAUGUCAACUAGUUGUUGGGGAUUCAUUUCCUUAGUAACGUAGCUAACGCGUGAAGUUGACCGCCUGGGGAGUACGGUCGCAAGAUU